RNAcentral lists this ribosomal RNA (555 nucleotides) under Trichoderma koningiopsis. RNAcentral describes it as "eukaryotic LSU rRNA". The stretch from base 175 to 328 matches the Rfam family "5.8S ribosomal RNA". The record is from RNAcentral. Lineage: Eukaryota; Fungi; Ascomycota; Sordariomycetes; Hypocreales; Hypocreaceae.
UGUGACGUUACCAAACUGUUGCCUCGGCGGGAUCUCUGCCCCGGGUGCGUCGCAGCCCCGGACCAAGGCGCCCGCCGGAGGACCAACCAAAACUCUUAUUGUAUACCCCCUCGCGGGUUUUUUACUAUCUGAGCCAUCUCGGCGCCCCUCGUGGGCGUUUCGAAAAUGAAUCAAAACUUUCAACAACGGAUCUCUUGGUUCUGGCAUCGAUGAAGAACGCAGCGAAAUGCGAUAAGUAAUGUGAAUUGCAGAAUUCAGUGAAUCAUCGAAUCUUUGAACGCACAUUGCGCCCGCCAGUAUUCUGGCGGGCAUGCCUGUCCGAGCGUCAUUUCAACCCUCGAACCCCUCCGGGGGGUCGGCGUUGGGGAUCGGCCCUUUACGGGGCCGGCCCCGAAAUACAGUGGCGGUCUCGCCGCAGCCUCUCCUGCGCAGUAGUUUGCACACUCGCAUCGGGAGCGCGGCGCGUCCACAGCCGUUAAACACCCCAAACUUCUGAAAUGUUGACCUCGGAUCAGGUAGGAAUACCCGCUGAACUUAAGCAUAUCAAUAAGCCGG